RNAcentral lists this ribosomal RNA (498 nucleotides) under uncultured bacterium. Its description in RNAcentral is "partial 16S ribosomal RNA". It matches the Rfam family "Bacterial small subunit ribosomal RNA", at positions 28 to 507 of the family's 1533-position model. The record is from RNAcentral.
GACGAACGCUGGCGGCGUGCCUAAUACAUGCAAGUCGAACGAGAGCGACCGGUGCUUGCACUGGUCAAUCUAGUGGCGAACGGGUGAGUAACACGUGGGUAACCUGCCCAUCAGAGGGGGAUAACAUCCGGAAACGGAUGCUAAAACCGCAUAGGUCUUCGAGCCGCAUGGCUUGAAGAGGAAAAGAGGCGCAAGCUUCUGCUGAUGGAUGGACCCGCGGUGCAUUAGCUAGUUGGUGAGGUAACGGCUCACCAAGGCCGUGAUGCAUAGCCGACCUGAGAGGGUGAUCGGCCACAUUGGGACUGAGACACGGCCCAACCUCCUACGGGAGGCAGCAGUAGGGAAUCUUCCGCAAUGGACGCAAGUCUGACGGAGCAACGCCGCGUGAGUGAAGAAGGUUUUCGGAUCGUAAAACUCUGUUGUUAGAGAAGAACAAGUGCUAGAGUAACUGUUAGCGCCUUGACGGUAUCUAACCAGAAAGCCACGGCUAACUACGUG